CCUACGGGGGGCAGCAGUGGGGAAUAUUGGACAAUGGGCGAAAGCCUGAUCCAGCCAUGCCGCGUGUGUGAAGAAGGCCUUCGGGUUGUAAAGCACUUUCAGUGGGGAAGAAAGCCUUGGGGCUAAUACCCUCGAGGAAGGACAUCACCCACAGAAGAAGCACCGGCUAACUCCGUGCCAGCAGCCGCGGUAAUACGGAGGGUGCGAGCGUUAAUCGGAAUUACUGUGCGUAAAGCGCGCGUAGGCGGUCUGAUAAGCCGGUUGUGAAAGCCCCGGGCUCAACCUGGGAACGGCAUCCGGAACUGUCAGGCUAGAGUGCAGGAGAGGAAGGUAGAAUUCCCGGUGUAGCGGUGAAAUGCGUAGAGAUCGGGAGGAAUACCAGUGGCGAAGGCGGCCUUCUGGACUGACACUGACGCUGAGGUGCGAAAGCGUGGGUAGCAAACAGGAUUAGAUACCCGAGUAGUC
Molecule: ribosomal RNA, 465 nt
Filed under: Vreelandella stevensii
Lineage: Bacteria; Pseudomonadati; Pseudomonadota; Gammaproteobacteria; Oceanospirillales; Halomonadaceae
Description: partial 16S ribosomal RNA
Rfam family: Bacterial small subunit ribosomal RNA
Source: RNAcentral